GAUGAACGCUGGCGGCGUGCCUAAUACAUGCAAGUCGAGCGAACGGACGAGAAGCUUGCUUCUCUGAUGUUAGCGGCGGACGGGUGAGUAACACGUGGAUAACCUACCUAUAAGACUGGGAUAACUUCGGGAAACCGUAGCUAAUACCGGAUAAUAUUUUGAACCGCAUGGUUCAAAAGUGAAAGACGGUCUUGCUGUCACUUAUAGAUGGAUCCGUGCUGCAUUAGCUAGUUGGUAAGGUAACGGCUUACCAAGGCAACGAUGCAUAGCCGACCUGAGAGGGUGAUCGGCCACACUGGAACUGAGACACGGUCCAGACUCCUACGGGAGGCAGCUGUAGGGAAUCUUCCGCAAUGGGCGAAAGCCUGACGGAGCAACGCCGCGUGAGUGAUGAAGGUCUUCGGAUCGUAAAACUCUGUUAUUAGGGAAGAACAUAUGUGUAAGUAACUGUGCACAUCUUGACGGUACCUAAUCAGAAAGCCACGGCUAACUACGUG
Molecule: ribosomal RNA, 497 nt
Filed under: uncultured bacterium
Lineage: Bacteria
Description: partial 16S ribosomal RNA
Rfam family: Bacterial small subunit ribosomal RNA
Source: RNAcentral